Molecule: ribosomal RNA, 253 nt
Filed under: uncultured bacterium
Lineage: Bacteria
Description: partial 16S ribosomal RNA
Rfam family: Bacterial small subunit ribosomal RNA
Source: RNAcentral
UACAGAGGAGCCAAGCGUUGUCCGGAUUGACUGGGCGUAAAGCGCACGCAGGCGGAUGCGCGCGUGGGGUGUGAAAUCUGGCCGCUUAACGGCCAGGCGCCAUCCCAUACGGCGCGUCUGGAGUGAUGCAGAGGUCGGUGGAAUUGCCGGUGUAGUGGUGAAAUGCGUAGAGAUCGGCAGGAACACCCAGGGGGAAACCAGCCGACUGGGCAUCUACUGACGCUGAGGUGCGAGAGCGUGAGGAGCGAACCGG